This 440-nucleotide ribosomal RNA is filed under the name uncultured bacterium. RNAcentral describes it as "partial 16S ribosomal RNA". It matches the Rfam family "Bacterial small subunit ribosomal RNA", at positions 338 to 795 of the family's 1533-position model. The record is from RNAcentral.
CCUACGGGUGGCAGCAGUGGGGGAUAUUGCACAAUGGGGGGAACCCUGAUGCAGCGACGCCGCGUGGGUGAAGAAGCGCCUCGGCGCGUAAAGCCCUGUCAGCCGGGAAGAAAAUGACGGUACCUGAAGAAGAAGCCCCGGCUAACUACGUGCCAGCAGCCGCGGUAAUACGUAGGGGGCAAGCGUUAUCCGGAUUUACUGGGUGUAAAGGGGGAUCAGACGGCGAUGCAAGCCAGGAGUGAAAGCCCGUGGCUCAACCACGGGACUGCUUUGGGAAAUGUGUUGCUGGAGUGCAGGAGGGGUAAGCGGAAUUCCUAGUGUAGCGGUGAAAUGCGUAGAUAUUAGGAGGAACACCAGUGGCGAAGGCGGAUUGCUGGACAGUAACUGACGCUGAGGCGCGAAAGCGUGGGGAGCAAACAGGAUUAGAUACCCCGGUAGUC